RNAcentral lists this transfer RNA (20 nucleotides) under Potamogeton distinctus. Its description in RNAcentral is "partial tRNA-His". RNAcentral also lists the same sequence under 1 other name. The record is from RNAcentral. Lineage: Eukaryota; Viridiplantae; Streptophyta; Magnoliopsida; Alismatales; Potamogetonaceae.
AUGUAGCCAAGUGGAUCAAG